CCUAAUUCACUCUUAUCUUCGCUUCAUACGCUGUAACCCCUAAGACCUUAAAAAUAUUGUAUUUGUUGAUGCUCAAACUUUGCUUCAUCUUAAAAUUGCUAUAGGUAAUCAAUUCUUUUCCUUGGAAUGUUUGUGAAUCUGUUCAAAUCCACUCAAAUCAGCUUGCAGAAUUGUGCUCUCCGAUUGCUGAGAAAUAUAACUCUUUUUGGUGCUUCAUUAAGGGUUCUAGACCCCUGAAUAGAAUUACAAAUCUGAGUAAGCUGAAUCACCCUCUUCUGCUUUGCUUUACUUUAUCUACUACAUAUACUAAUCCCCUCAUUUUUGUAUUUAUGUUUGGUAAAGAGAUAAUGGGGUGCUCGGAAACGCAAGUAAUCGGGUUGUAAUUUCUUCUUCAGAUGUAUCACUUGCAUAACUUGAGAAACCCUCCCCUAUACUGCGAGUCCUUUUUGUUAUCUGUAUAAGAAUAGGCUAGAUAACUAUGUAUAGUUUUUGUUGCCUUUGUGGCAUGUAAAUACACAAGUUAAGCUUUAGCCUUUUGACCCCUUUGCUGGUGACACUCUUAUGUAUGGACAUUGUAAUUUAUCACUGUUUAGAAUCUUCUUGCCUGUUAUUUCCAA
Long non-coding RNA from Capsicum annuum, 617 nucleotides. RefSeq lists it as uncharacterized. Lineage: Eukaryota; Viridiplantae; Streptophyta; Magnoliopsida; Solanales; Solanaceae. The transcript has 2 exons. The record is from RefSeq and is a predicted model, not a curated record.